AAAGUUGAGAAACUAGGUAAUUGAAGUUCUCUGACACAAACUCUGGACUGUAGGGUGAAUCAAGGAUUUAAACAAUCUCUGUAACAGGUAUAUUCCUCUGCAUAGAAUUAAAUGGCUGUGAAAGCAGGGAUGGAGAGCCACAUGUGGGAUGGGGUCUGACACUGGAAGAUAUCUGUCAGUUGUACUGCUUGUGCAAUUGUGCUGUGCACGUUGAAGCUUCAGUGGUAUGAAUUAUAUCUUGCCAUGCUAAAGUAACAGCAAAAUCUUAAAUGAAAUAUCCUUUCAUUGUGUUUUGUAUAAUCUCUCUCGGAACAUUAGAUGACAUAGCAGGUGUCCAAUUCAAAUAACAAAGGAAGAGAAAACAUUUUCAGCUGCAUUGAAAUACAAAUAGAUAAUAAAGUUUGAAAGUAUUGUAACAUUAUUUUUUAAUGUCCAAUAGCAAAUAUUCUAGUAGAUCCUCUGCAUUCAAAAUUAUGAGAUUUAUUUAUUUAUUUAUCUGCUUACUUCCAUACUUAUUUAUUUUACAGUAAUGUCUAAAAUGUUCUUGAAACUGAAAGAAUCAAGAAACAACUGGAUAAAAAGCUGGUUUUUGGAAUCUAGAUUUAGGUCUAUGUAUCUACUUUUAUGAAGUCUCUUAAGAUCUGGAAAUCCUCAAAAAUAAAAAUCCUUCUUUUAAGCUUUUUGAAACAUUUUAUUGAAUAUGUUGACUGUGAAAUAUUUUCAUUAAGUCCACAAGAGCUUCAAACAGGAGAAAAGGAAGCUGAAGUGCGACACUAUUAUGAGUACAGCAAAAGGUAGAAGAUAAAGGCAAUUCAAGAUAGAGCUGCUUACACCUAUGUUAAAACUCAACAAUAUACUAAGCUUGCAGUGCCUCUUGAUGAAAGCACUUUUAUUACCUAUAAUUUCUUGAAAUAAUUCUUACAUAGUUUAUUUUAUUUCAUUUUAUUUUUUGCCUAAAAAGAUUGGAUUUGAUGUUAUCUCAGAUUCUUAAAUGAACAAUUCCAUGGCCAGUUUAUGAGUAGAAAGGAAGUUUGUACUAUCAGGUCUAUAUCAGAAUGAGUCUGCUCUUGUGUUUUUCCUUACAGAGAUCUACAACCAAAUUCUAAGUUGGUUUCUGAAUAAACAAAAUUAAUCUUGAGAAUACCUUCUUUAAAAUAUGUUUCUUCUAAAAUUCAAAGUGAUUUCUUCUUUAUUCACUUUCCCUCUGGACCACUGAGAUCUGUGUAAAUAUUUAAUCUCAUAUGGUGUUUGAUCUCUGGGGGGAUAAUUUUCCGCAGACAAGAAAGGCUUGAGAUGUUUGAUUAUCAACACUGUUCUUUACCCAGGCAAGUGUGAAUACAUGCAGAACAAGAAAGAGACUGUGAUCUGCUAUGAAUAUUUUGUCAUCACAUCAUCUGUAGUUGAAACAACCAUGAAUAAAAUCAGAUCAAAGAAGAAAGUGCUAGACCAUCAUUCAGUAAUAUUUAUUGCAUGUGUAUUUGCCCCACGUUGCAAAAAGCACUUUUUCUUUGCACCCAUCCACCAUCUGUGUAAUCUUUUGGGACACAGUGUCCUUUGACACUGUGUGAUUGCUUCAAAAUCCCUGUGGAACAAGGGAUAUACCUCUAUUGAGAUUAUAAUGACUUGCCUUUAGAGGAAGCUUAAUGCUACAUUGGAAUGUCCUGCUUCAGUUUACUUGUUCUGGCCUACGUAAAACUUAUAAGCUGAAAAAGUCCUGAACACUCAAGGUAAGGUUCUUGUUGAUAAAAAACCUAGCAUAUAUUAGGAUCUAUGCUAUAGUAUGCAUUUUGUGAGAAAACAUUAAAAUUGUAAAGCUAGAGUGUGGCUGGAUGUCACAUCCCACUCGUGAAGGGAGGGAGGGGUGAUCAGAUUUGCAAAUCUCCCCUGGUUAGAUUACGGUGAAACUGACACUCAAGGUCCGAACACAAUCAUAAAUUUUAAUGAGAAUCUCUUUACUAUAAUUAUCUUCAAAUUAUUGGCAUACUUACAAUUAUAUUUAUCUAAGCCGUGUGGCUAAACUAUGUGACUUUAUAAGACAUGAAAGCAAGCUUUGUGUUACUUAACAGCUU
RNAcentral lists this long non-coding RNA (2069 nucleotides) under Gallus gallus (chicken). Its description in RNAcentral is "lncRNA (ENSGALG00010015512.1)". The record is from RNAcentral. Lineage: Eukaryota; Metazoa; Chordata; Aves; Galliformes; Phasianidae.